UACGGAGGGCGCAAGCGUUGUUCGGAAUUACUGGGCGUAAAGCGCGUGUAGGCGGCUUGGCAAGUCGGUUGUGAAAUCCCCAGGCUCAACCUGGGAACUGCAGCCGAAACUGCUUCGCUAGAGUCCCGGAGAGGAAGGCAGAAUUCCCAGUGUAGGGGUGAAAUCCGUAGAUACUGGGAGGAAUACCCGUAGCGAAGGCGGCCUUCUGGACGGUGACUGACGCUCAGACGCGAAAGCGUGGGGAGCAAACAGG
RNAcentral lists this unclassified non-coding RNA (253 nucleotides) under uncultured delta proteobacterium. RNAcentral describes it as "contains 16S-23S intergenic spacer region". It matches the Rfam family "Bacterial small subunit ribosomal RNA", at positions 524 to 776 of the family's 1533-position model. The record is from RNAcentral. Lineage: Bacteria; Deltaproteobacteria.